AACGCACGAGACCUGCGGACCUGCGGAAGGAUCAUUAUCGAAUUUGAAGGGGCUCGGGUUGUAGCUGGUCUCUCGGGACAGGUGCUCGCCCUUGCUCUCUUACACCCACACACCCUGUGCACUCUUGCGUGGGUCGCGUCGACUUUGUUCGGCGCGCUCGCGACUUUAUACAAACCCCCCUGUAUGUUUUAGAAUGUCUCUGCGUACCUACGCAACCUAGUACAACUUUUAGCAACGGAU
RNAcentral lists this unclassified non-coding RNA (240 nucleotides) under soil metagenome. RNAcentral's name for it is "partial contains 5.8S ribosomal RNA, internal transcribed spacer 2, and large subunit ribosomal RNA". The record is from RNAcentral.